GGUUGUGUAGUGUAGUGGUCAUCACUCCGGAUUUUGAUCACAUCAAAAUCGAGUUUUCCGGCAACCCCGGUUCGAACCCGGGCACGACCU
Molecule: transfer RNA, 90 nt
Filed under: Colletotrichum somersetense
Lineage: Eukaryota; Fungi; Ascomycota; Sordariomycetes; Glomerellales; Glomerellaceae
Description: tRNA-Gln
Rfam family: tRNA
About the family: Transfer RNA (tRNA) molecules are approximately 80 nucleotides in length.
Source: RNAcentral